AUUGAACGCUGGCGGCAGGCCUAACACAUGCAAGUCGAGCGGAGCGACGGACGGGUGAGUAAUGACUAGGAAUCUGCCUGGCCGUGGGGGAUAACGUACGGAAACGGGCGCGAAUACCGCACACUAUCAGAUGAGCCUAGUUCGGAUUAGCUAGGUGGUGGGGUAAGGGCCUACCAAGGCGACGAUCCGUAACUGGUCUGAGAGGAUGAUCAGUCAGCCUGGAACUGAGACACGGUCCAGACUCCUACGGGAGGCAGCAGUGGGGAAUAUUGGACAAUGGGCUAAAGCCUGAUCCAGCCAUGCCGCGUGUGUGAAGAAGGUCUUCGGAUUGUAAAGCACUUUAAGUUGGGAGGCGUUACCAACAGAAUAAGCACCGGCUAACUCCGUGCCAGCAGCCGCGGUAAUUC
RNAcentral lists this ribosomal RNA (407 nucleotides) under uncultured bacterium. Its description in RNAcentral is "partial 16S ribosomal RNA". It matches the Rfam family "Bacterial small subunit ribosomal RNA", at positions 30 to 526 of the family's 1533-position model. The record is from RNAcentral.